GAGUGGCAUCCACCUUGGGUGCCUGUCCAACCGUCUAACAAUGGUUGUUAGCAAGGGCCGGGUAAGACCGGUGCCAGCCGCCGCGGUAAUACCGGCGGCUCGAGUGGUGGCCGAUAUUAUUGAGUCUAAAGGGUCCGUAGCCGGCUUUGCAAGUCCCCUGGGAAAUCCAGCGGCUUAACCGUUGGGCUUCCAUGGGAUACUACAUUGCUUGGGACUGGGAGAGGUAGGAGGUACUCGGGGGGUAGGGGUGAAAUCCUGUAAUCCUCCGGGGACCACCGGUGGCGAAGGCGUCCUACCAGAACAGGUCCGACGGUGAGGGACGAAAGCUAGGGGCACGAACCGGAUUAGAUACCCGGGUAGUCCUAGCCGUAAACGAUGCCCGCUAGGUGUCACGACGGUCGUGAAUCGUCGUGGUGCCGUAGGGAAGCCGCGAAGCGGGCCACUUGGGAAGUACGACCGCAAGGUUGAAACUUAAAGGAAUUGGCGGGGGAGCACCACAACGGGUGGAGCCUGCGGUUUAAUUGGAUUCAACGCCGGGAAGCUUACCGGGAUCGACAGUUGUAUGAAGGCCAGGCUGAAGACCUUGCCGGACUAGCUGAGAGGUGGUGCAUGGCC
This 615-nucleotide ribosomal RNA is filed under the name uncultured archaeon. Its description in RNAcentral is "bacterial SSU rRNA". It matches the Rfam family "Archaeal small subunit ribosomal RNA", at positions 383 to 999 of the family's 1478-position model. The record is from RNAcentral.